RNAcentral lists this long non-coding RNA (345 nucleotides) under Vombatus ursinus (common wombat). RNAcentral describes it as "lncRNA (ENSVURG00010022219.1)". The record is from RNAcentral. Lineage: Eukaryota; Metazoa; Chordata; Mammalia; Diprotodontia; Vombatidae.
CCUCCUCCCUGUUCUCUUUCAGGUCGGGCCGGGCCGGGCGGGUUCCUCUGGCGCCCAAGAGAGAGGAGGGGAGGAGGAGGAGGAGGAGGAUUAAGCGGGGAGCGUGAGCGUCCGCUGCCCAGCAAAACUUCUAAAGAUUUGGAGAAGAUAGAAAACAACCCAAAAGGCUAAAGCACUAUUGUACUCAUGUUCCUGAUAUAAGUCACUGGAUGUGAGCUGAGAGUUCUGAGAAGAGAGAGGAAAUGUAACCUCCUUGACUGUAUACAUAUAAUUUUACAGGUAUGUCUUUAUUGAAUGCACUCAUAAUUUAUGGAAUUUCAUAAUAUCAAAAUUCUGAAGACACUC